GCUGGCAUGGUCUAGUUGGUUAUGACGACUGCCUAACACGCAGUAGGUCCCGAGUUCGACUCUCGGUUCCAGUA
RNAcentral lists this transfer RNA (74 nucleotides) under Perkinsus olseni. RNAcentral describes it as "tRNA-Val". Lineage: Eukaryota; Perkinsozoa; Perkinsida; Perkinsidae. The record is from RNAcentral.